Molecule: long non-coding RNA, 795 nt
Organism: Xenopus laevis (African clawed frog)
Lineage: Eukaryota; Metazoa; Chordata; Amphibia; Anura; Pipidae
Exons: 3
Source: RefSeq, a predicted model, not a curated record
GAAGAUUGCUCAUUCGAGUGCCUGCUCUACAAUUUUUCGGUUUUGAACCUAUCCCUUUGCUGAGGGCUCAGGGAGGUGUACCUGGGCCUCUCCCUUCACUUGUGGUGGAACUACCAGGGGUACAGGGAUGAAAUCACACCAGUGCCUGCGCCCCCUGGGGCCUGUGGGAGCCUUGUGCACGGCCAAAUCUGUUAAGAAAAUUGCGUCUGGAGGGAGGCGCGGAGGGCACUUCCUGAACUUGUGCCCACCGGUGCUAGUAUAUUCGGAAUAUUCUUCAAUUUAUUUUGACAUUCCAAGAACUCGCAGCAGAGAGCUAUAGAGAAGAAUGUAUUUAAUGAAGAGAAGGCAAGCAGAGAAUAAAGAAGAAUGCUCCCCUUUAGAUCUCCUAAUGAUGUGCUGUGUUGAUGGAUACAUUCUUUGCCUACCUGAGAUCUAUUGAUUUUAUGCACCAGUUUAUUUUCAAUAGGUAACAGCAGGCCUGGACUGAAAUGCAAAGUAGGUCCUGCUAUUUCAAGUACACAGAGGCCCAAACAUCGGCUCAACCAACACACUAAAUAGUGACUGCCUAUGGCAUCUUACUGCCGCCCCUCCGGCAUUUGCCAGAAUCCAGGCCUGUCCGGGCCUGAGUAACAGGUCAACCAAUUUAGUGCUCAAUGUGUGCUGUGUAACUGUAUUAGUAUUCUGACACAAACCUGUUUCUUUCCAGUUAGUGUAUGUAUAUGUUAUACUGCUUUUACACUUAUUUCUGAUUCCCCAGACAUUGCAGGAGCCACCUUUGACUAGAAAAAUCCCAAU